Molecule: ribosomal RNA, 322 nt
Filed under: uncultured bacterium
Lineage: Bacteria
Description: bacterial SSU rRNA
Rfam family: Bacterial small subunit ribosomal RNA
Source: RNAcentral
AGGGUUUGAUUAUGGCUCAGGAUGAACGCUGGCGGCGUGCCUAAUACAUGCAAGUCGAACGCAGUCCUUAGGGACUGAGUGGCGAACGGGUGAGUAAAAGAUAAGGAACCUGGCUCCUGAAGGGGGAUAGCGUCUGGAAACGGACGGUAAGACCGCGUAGGCAAUAUGGACGCAUGUCGAUAUUGUUAGAUAUGCCAAGGCAUAGACAGGAGAUGGACUUAUCACGCAUUAACUGGUUGGCGGGGUAAAGGCCCACCAAGGCGACGAUGCGUAGCCGGCCUGAGAGGGCGGACGGCCACACUGGGACUGAGACACGGCCCAG